CCUACGGGGGGCUGCAGUGGGGAAUAUUGCGCAAUGGGCGAAAGCCUGACGCAGCGACGCCGCGUGGGUGAUGAAGGCCUUCGGGUUGUAAAGCCCUGUCGGGUGGAACGAACGAUCUGGCGGCGAAUAACCGCCGGGUGUGACGGUACCACCGAAGGAAGCCCCGGCUAACUACGUGCCAGCAGCCGCGGUAAGACGUAGGGGGCGAGCGGUGUUCGGAUUUACGGGGGGUAAUAGGCACGUAGGCGGCGAAAGCCCUCGGCUUAGCCGAGGGCCAGCAGCCGAUACUGUCUGGCUCGAGUCUAGGAGAGGAAAGCGGAAUUCCCAGUGUAGCGGUGAAAUGCGUAGAUAUUGGGAGGAACACCGGUGGCGAAGGCGGCUUUCCGGACUAGUACUGACGCUGAGGCGCGAAAGCUAGGGGAGCGAACGGGAUUAGAUACCCCUGUAGUC
Molecule: ribosomal RNA, 450 nt
Filed under: uncultured bacterium
Lineage: Bacteria
Description: partial 16S ribosomal RNA
Rfam family: Bacterial small subunit ribosomal RNA
Source: RNAcentral